GGCUAGCUCAUGAGCUUUUUUCUAUACUCUAGUUUUAUGUGGAGGUGCAGGGCAAUUUUUAAUAUUAAGGAUUCCUCCAAUAUGUAAUUUUUCAGGUUGUCAUUCAAAAUCAUAAGACCUGUAUUGCAUGUAUGGUCCAUGGAUCUCUGCAAGGAAUCAUGUAGUCAAGCAAGUGGGCUAAACAAACAAGCCCAGUGACCACUACAUUUCUACAGGUGAUUUUGCAAGGCACAGUGGCCCAAAUCACUAUUCCUGGUGUAUUUUUCAGAGGGAUCCUGUAGUCACAAGGAGGCUUAUGGUGUACUUGUGUGGAUUUCUAGAGACAUCAAGUGUUGUGCUUGUGAAGGUCUUGCCUUGGUAUUAGAGAGCACAGGAGCAGGUGUCCAGGUAGGAAAUAGUAAAUUCUGGGGACAGGCUGAUUUCGUGGCAGUCGUCCUAGAACAGGUAAGUUUCCAUGUUAUUCAAUGGUUUGCUGGGGCACGAUAUACUCAUUGGCUUUACACUGACACCAUCAUAUCUAUUUUUUUUUCAGGAUCCCACAUGAAUGCUAUGUAUAGAAGCAUUUGCAGUUUUUAG
RNAcentral lists this long non-coding RNA (576 nucleotides) under Fukomys damarensis (Damara mole-rat). Its description in RNAcentral is "lncRNA (ENSFDAG00000026195.1)". The record is from RNAcentral. Lineage: Eukaryota; Metazoa; Chordata; Mammalia; Rodentia; Bathyergidae.